CAUCUUAAUAUCCAUUAGAAAUGCACGUCCGUCUGCUUUUCAGUCAUGCUCAGAGGAAACGCAUUUGAUUCUUUAGCUCUGCUCUUUACAGUUAGAUUAUGGUCUCUUCUACUCGGCCCUUACCUAUGGUUUAAUUGUCCCUUUGCUGGUCAAAUGAGUACUACUUAGAGAUAGUCAAGGUGAGAAGUUGGCCUUUGAGAACCUUCUCCAUAAAGCAAGUUGAGAUUUCUCCAAGAGGCCUCAUGCCUUUAUGAAGUACCAUCUCAUCUUGAGGGAAUACUAGUUAAAUAUGUGAAGACCGGGAAAGCUCUCUCACUGAGUUAUGUGGCCAUGAUCAGCGACACACAGGAUACUUCUGUUGUCAAGGACAAAGGGGACCAUCUCGUACCCUCAAAAGACCUUCAUACCAAAAUAUGAUGAUUUGAGUCAAGGAGACACAGCAAUAUAAAAGCAGCAACAUUUCCAUGUAAUUUUGAAAAGUGCACCACUGCCGGCUGGUUUAUUGAUGAGUGCUGCUUCCUCCGAGGAGACAAUAAGAAUUGCUGGAGAUGAACUGCUAAGCCUCGCCCUCCUUGAGCUUGGGUCACCAUGAUAAAAGCUUGGAUCUGAGGUGGGAGAUUCCAGCAUCUUUCCUGGUCUGAGAACCAUUGUCCAGGAUCUUAUUCUAGAGCUCAGGAUGGCCCAGUGCUUGGAAUCCUUUUAUACCUGAUCCAUUGUCUGAUAUAAGUACUGGAAUUACAGAUCUGUGCACUACA
Long non-coding RNA from Mastomys coucha (southern multimammate mouse), 755 nucleotides. RefSeq lists it as uncharacterized. Lineage: Eukaryota; Metazoa; Chordata; Mammalia; Rodentia; Muridae. The transcript has 5 exons. The record is from RefSeq and is a predicted model, not a curated record.